UUUGACCUCAAAUCAGGUAGGACUACCCGCUGAACUUAAAC
RNAcentral lists this ribosomal RNA (41 nucleotides) under Candida tropicalis. Its description in RNAcentral is "partial 28S ribosomal RNA". The record is from RNAcentral. Lineage: Eukaryota; Fungi; Ascomycota; Pichiomycetes; Serinales; Debaryomycetaceae.